CUCGGAGUCUUUGACGCAAGUUGCGCCCGAAGCCAUUAGGCCGAGGGCACGCCUGCCUGGGUGUCACACAUCGUCAUCCCCAUGCAAAUGCGCAUCGGGGCAAAAGCUGGCCUCCCGCGAGACAACCAACGUGGCUGGUCGAAAACCAAGUUAACGUCGGGGGUCCCCCCGCCACAAACGGUGGAUGAGCAGUGCUCGAGACCAACGGCGGAGGGGGACACCCGGUACUACAAUUUGUGGGCCCUAUUGCGUUCUUUGUAGAAAGCAAAGACGCUCCUAAAGAGACCUCAGGUCAGGCGGGGCUACCCGCUGAGUUUAAGCAUAUCAAUAAGCGGAGGAAAAGAAACUAACAAGGAUUCCCUUAGUAACGGCGAGCGAACCGGGAACAGCCCACCAUGAGAAUCGGUCGCCUUUGGCGUUCGAAUUGUAGUCUG
RNAcentral lists this ribosomal RNA (434 nucleotides) under Vigna stipulacea. RNAcentral describes it as "eukaryotic LSU rRNA". The stretch from base 283 to 434 matches the Rfam family "Eukaryotic large subunit ribosomal RNA", at positions 1 to 152 of the family's 3401-position model. The record is from RNAcentral. Lineage: Eukaryota; Viridiplantae; Streptophyta; Magnoliopsida; Fabales; Fabaceae.